This 164-nucleotide ribosomal RNA is filed under the name uncultured bacterium. RNAcentral's name for it is "partial 16S ribosomal RNA". It matches the Rfam family "Bacterial small subunit ribosomal RNA", at positions 355 to 511 of the family's 1533-position model. The record is from RNAcentral.
UAGGGAAUCUUCCACAAUGGGCGAAAGCCUGAUGGAGCAACGCCGCGUGUGUGAUGAAGGGUUUCGACUCGUAAAACACUGUUGUAAGAGAAGAAUGACAUUGAGAGUAACUGUUCAAUGUGUGACGGUAUCUUACCAGAAAGGAACGGCUAAAUACGUGCCAG